RNAcentral lists this ribosomal RNA (253 nucleotides) under uncultured bacterium. Its description in RNAcentral is "partial 16S ribosomal RNA". It matches the Rfam family "Bacterial small subunit ribosomal RNA", at positions 524 to 776 of the family's 1533-position model. The record is from RNAcentral.
UACAGAGGGUGCGAGCGUUAAUCGGAAUUACUGGGCGUAAAGCGCGCGUAGGCGGCUGUCUAAGUCGGGUGUGAAAGCCCCGGGCUCAACCUGGGAACUGCAUUCGAUACUGGACGGCUAGAGUAUGAGAGAGGGAGGUAGAAUUCCACGUGUAGCGGUGAAAUGCGUAGAUAUGUGGAGGAAUACCGGUGGCGAAAGCGGCACACUGGGGGAUAACUGACGCUGAGGCACGAAAGCCAGGGGAGCGAACGGG